Molecule: ribosomal RNA, 870 nt
Filed under: uncultured Deferribacteres bacterium
Lineage: Bacteria; Pseudomonadati; Deferribacterota; Deferribacteres
Description: bacterial SSU rRNA
Rfam family: Bacterial small subunit ribosomal RNA
Source: RNAcentral
GUCAUGCAGUCGAACGAGAAAGCGUUCUUCGGAACGUGAGUACAGUGGCGGACGGGUGAGUAACACGUGGGGAACCUGCCCUCAAGCUGGGAACAACCCGCCUAACGGCGGGCUAAUACCGAAUGUGGUUGUCAGUCCGCAUGGUAUGACAACUAAAGGUGGCCUCUCCUUGGAAGCUACCGCUUGUGGAUGGCCCCGCGCUCAAUUAGCUAGUUGGUAGGGUAACGGCCUACCAAGGCGACGAUUGAUAGCCGACCUGAGAGGGUGAUCGGCCACACUGGGAUUGAGAUAAGGCCCAGUCUCCUACGGGAGCCAGCAGUCUAGAAAUUUGGGCAAUGAGCGAAAGCCUGACCCAGCGACGCCGCGUGGGGGAUGAAGCUUCUCGGAGUGUAAACCCCUGUUAGGUGGGACGAAAGCCCGUAUACGAAUAGUAGGCGGGUUUGACGGUACCACCAGAGGAAGCUCCGGCUAACUCCGUGCCAGCAGCCGCGGUAAUACGGGGGGAGCAAGCGUUGUUCGGAGUUAUUGGGCGUAAAGGGCGUACAGGCGGUGGUGUCAGUCAGAUGUGAAAUCCCCCGGCUCAACCGGGGACCUGCAUUUGAUACUGCAUCACUUGAGUACAGGAGAGGAGAGCGGAAUUUUCGGUGUAGCGGUGGAAUGUGUAGAUAUCGAAAAGAACACCAGUGGCGAAGGCGGCUCUCUGGCCUGAUACUGACGCUGACGCGCGAAAGCUAGGGGAGCAAACAGGAUUAGAUACCCUGGUAGUCCUAGCCGUAAACGUUGGGCACUAGUGUUGGAGGUAUCGACCCCUUCAGUGCCGAAGCUAACGCAUUAAGUGCCCCGCCUGGGGAGUACGGCCGCAAGGCUGAA